Molecule: ribosomal RNA, 475 nt
Filed under: uncultured bacterium
Lineage: Bacteria
Description: SSU rRNA
Rfam family: Bacterial small subunit ribosomal RNA
Source: RNAcentral
AGGACGAACGCUGGCGGCGUGCUUAACACAUGCAAGUCGAACGGAAAGGCCCUUCGGGGUACUCGAGUGGCGAACGGGUGAGUAACACGUGGGUGAUCUGCCCCGCACUUUGGGAUAAGCCUGGGAAACUGGGUCUAAAUACCGAAUAGGACCAUGGGAUGCAUGUCCUGUGGUGGAAAGCUUUUGCGGUGUGGGAUGGGCCCGCGGCCUAUCAGCUUGUUGGUGGGGUUAAGGCCUACCAAGGCGACGACGGGUAGCCGGCCUGAGAGGGUGUCCGGCCACACUGGGACUGAGAUACGGCCCAGACUCCUACGGGAGGCAGCAGUGGGGAAUAUUGCACAAUGGGCGCAAGCCUGAUGCAGCGACGCCGCGUGGGGGAUGACGGCCUUCGGUUGUAAACCUCUUUCAGUAGGGACGAAGCGCAAGUGACGGUACCUACAGAAGAAGCACCGGCCAACUACGUGCCAGCAGCCGC